CCUACGGGAGGCAGCAGUGGGGAAUAUUGCACAAUGGGCGCAAGCCUGAUGCAGCGACGCCGCGUGAGGGAUGACGGCCUUCGGGUUGUAAACCUCUUUCAGUAGGGAAGAAGCGUAAGUGACGGUACCUGCAGAAGAAGCGCCGGCUAACUACGUGCCAGCAGCCGCGGUAAUACGUAGGGCGCAAGCGUUAUCCGGAAUUAUUGGGCGUAAAGAGCUCGUAGGCGGUUUGUCGCGUCUGCCGUGAAAGUCCGGGGCUCAACUCCGGAUCUGCGGUGGGUACGGGCAGACUAGAGUGAUGUAGGGGAGACUGGAAUUCCUGGUGUAGCGGUGAAAUGCGCAGAUAUCAGGAGGAACACCGAUGGCGAAGGCAGGUCUCUGGGCAUUAACUGACGCUGAGGAGCGAAAGCAUGGGGAGCGAACAGGAUUAGAUACCCUGGUAGUCCAUGCCGUAAACGUUGGGCACUAGGUGUGGGGGACAUUCCACGUUUUCCGCGCCGUAGCUAACGCAUUAAGUGCCCCGCCUGGGGAGUACGGCCGCAAGGCUAAAACCUUAAUGAAUUGACGGCUGAGACGNGCGAGCGACGACGAGGGAGAGG
RNAcentral lists this ribosomal RNA (599 nucleotides) under uncultured bacterium. Its description in RNAcentral is "bacterial SSU rRNA". It matches the Rfam family "Bacterial small subunit ribosomal RNA", at positions 338 to 946 of the family's 1533-position model. The record is from RNAcentral.